RNAcentral lists this ribosomal RNA (522 nucleotides) under uncultured Glomus. RNAcentral describes it as "SSU rRNA". It matches the Rfam family "Eukaryotic small subunit ribosomal RNA", at positions 569 to 1092 of the family's 1831-position model. The record is from RNAcentral. Lineage: Eukaryota; Fungi; Glomeromycota; Glomeromycetes; Glomerales; Glomeraceae.
AGCAGCCGCGGUAAUUCCAGCUCCAAUAGCGUAUAUUAAAGUUGUUGCAGUUAAAAAGCUCGUAGUUGAAUUUCGGGGCCAGUAGGUUGGUCGUGCCACUGGUAUGCACUGGCCUUAUUGGUCUCUCCCUCCUGAAGAACCGUGAUGCCAUUAAUUUGGUGUUGCGGUGAGGCAGGACUGUUACUUUGAAAAAAUUAGAGUGCUUAAAGCAGGCUAACGCUUGAAUACAUUAGCAUGGAAUAACGGAAUAGGACGCUUGAUUCUAUUUUGUUGGUUUCUAGGAUCAACGUAAUGAUUAAUAGGGAUAGUUGGGGGCAUUAGUAUUCAAUUGUCAGAGGUGAAAUUCUUGGAUUUAUUGAAGACUAACUACUGCGAAAGCAUUUGCCAAGGAUGUUUUCAUUAAUCAAGAACGAAAGUUAGGGGAUCGAAGACGAUCAGAUACCGUCGUAGUCUUAACCAUAAACUAUGCCGACUAGGGAUCGGAUGAAGUUAAUUUUUUAAUGACUCAUUCGGCGUCUUACG